CGUAGGUGACCUGCGGAAGGAUCAUUCAUAAUAAGUGUUUUAUGGCACUUUUUAAAUCCAUAUCCACCUUGUGUGCAAUGUCAGUCGGUCUUCUUUAUGGAGAUCGGCCAAACAUCAACCUAAUUUUUUAACUCUUUGUCUGAAAAAUAUUAUGAAUAAAAUAAUUCAAAAUACAACUUUCAACAACGGAUCUCUUGGCUCUCGCAUCGAUGAAGAACGCAGCGAAAUGCGAUACGUAAUGUGAAUUGCAGAAUUCAGUGAAUCAUCGAAUCUUUGAACGCAUAUUGCGCUCUUUGGUAUUCCGAAGAGCAUGCUUGUUUGAGUAUCAGCAAACACCUCAAAACUUUUUUUUAUUUUUAAAAAACAGUUUUGGACUUGAGCAAUCCCAACACCAAUCUUUUUUAGAUCGGUGGCGGGUUGCUUGAAAUGCAGGUGCAGCUGGACAUUCUCCUGAGCUAAAAGCAUAUUUAUUUAGUCCCGUCAAACGGAUUAUUACUUUUGCUGCAGCUAAUAUAAAGGGAGUUUGACCGUUUUGGCUGACUGAUGCANGAUUUCACAAGGGUCGGCAACGAUUCUUGUAAAACUCGAUCUCAAAUCAAGUAAGACUACCCGCUGAACUUAAGCAUAUCAAUAAGCGGAGAAAAGAAACUAACAAGGAUUCCUCUAGUAACGGCGAGUGAAGCGGGAUGAGCUCAAAUUUAAAAUCUGGCUGGUUUACUAGUCCGAAUUGUAGUUUAUAGAAGCGUUUUCGUGGCAGCCUGGGUAUAAAUUCCUUUGGAAU
RNAcentral lists this ribosomal RNA (781 nucleotides) under uncultured fungus. Its description in RNAcentral is "eukaryotic LSU rRNA". The stretch from base 175 to 328 matches the Rfam family "5.8S ribosomal RNA". Lineage: Eukaryota; Fungi. The record is from RNAcentral.